This 694-nucleotide ribosomal RNA is filed under the name uncultured euryarchaeote. Its description in RNAcentral is "bacterial SSU rRNA". It matches the Rfam family "Archaeal small subunit ribosomal RNA", at positions 19 to 719 of the family's 1478-position model. The record is from RNAcentral. Lineage: Archaea; Methanobacteriati; Methanobacteriota.
UUUGGCCUCCGUUUCGGGUCCGAUUUAGCCUGCUAGUUGCGCGGGUCAGACCCGCAGCGAAUAGCUCAGUAACACGUGGCCAAUCUACCCUGUGGACGACGACACUCUCGGGAAACUGAGGCUAAUCGUCGAUACGGGGCGACACCUGGAACGAGUCGCCCCGGAAACGCUCCGGCGCCACAGGAUGAGGCUGCGGCCGAUUAGGUUGACGGUGGGGUAACGGCCCACCGUGCCGAUAAUCGGUACGGGUCGUGAGAGCGAGUGCCCGGAGACGGAAUCUGAGACAAGAUUCCGGGCCCUACGGGGCGCAGCAGGCGCGAAACCUUUACACUGCACGCACGUGCGAUAAGGGGACUCCGAGUGCGAGGGCAUACAGUCCUCGCUUUUCUGGACCGUAGGGUGGUCCAGGAACAAGAGCUGGGCAAGACCGGUGCCAGCCGCCGCGGUAAUACCGGCAGCUCGAGUGAUGGCCGAUCUUAUUGGGCCUAAAGCGUCCGUAGCCGGCCGUGUCGGUCCGUCGGGAAAUCCGNUGGCUNAACCAACGGGCGUCCGGCGGAACCCUACGGCUUGGGACCGGAAGGCUCGAGGGGUACGUNCGGGGUAGGAGUGAAAUCCCGUAAUCCUGGACGGACCGNCNAUGGCNAAAGCACCUUGAGAGGACNGAUCCNACCGUNAAGGACGAAAGCUAGGGUUU